UCUCUCAUUCUCUGUCUUGCUACUGCCACGUAAGACGUGCCUUGUGCCUUCCACCAUGAUUGUGAGGCCUCCCCAGCCACGUGGAACUUAAGAAGGAUAUGAAAGGAAGAGUGACAGAACACUCGGGAGUAACCUGUGUCUGGAGGGGACAGUCAUGGCAGCCGAGGGCAGGACACGAUCUGGGGGCUGAGCUGCAUCUGAAGCCGGAAGGUGCAGGUGUAUUCCCCGAGGCCGUCUUUACAUUCGCCCUCGUUCUGGCAAGGACUGGUCUCGCACUGGUCGCCAUCUGCAAAGAGAGGAUUUCGAAACUGGAGUCUGCAAGCCGUUUCCGGCAUCAUGGAAACAGUUUUGCUGUGCUAACCUUGGCACUGCUGUUCAGAUAACUGGAAAAGGCUUCCUGUUUCUCUGUAAACAACUCCUCCUCUUUGGACUUUAUUUGAUCCACCCCCUUUUGUGGCCGUGUGUACGUGAUGCCUUUACCUAGGGGGAUCACCGGCCCAGCUUUUCGAUUUUUGCCGGUGUUUUGCUGUGUGUUUACAGUCAGAGGUGACCACAGGGACCAGCUGGAAGGAUGGAGGAAAGAUGUUAACUAAGCCAAGGCUGUAGACGAGAUCAUGCUGGGUCAGUGUGGGCCCUAAAUAAAAGAGAACGUCCUUAUAAGAGAGAGAAAAAGUCACACAGAGGCACAGAGAGAAGGCCAUGCAAAGAUGAAAGCCGAGACAGGAGCGACGCGUCUGCAGCCCAAGGAUGCCCGUGAUUGCUGGGUGCUCCUGGAAGCGAGCAGAGAGCCUGGGACAGAGACUCUCUCAGACCCUCCAGAUGGAACCAACACUGCCAACACCUUAAUUUCAGGCUUGUCUCCAAAGCUGCGACAAUAAAUCGCUGUUAUUUUAAGGCGUCUGUAGUGCUUUGUUAUGGUUGCCCUAGGAAGCAAAUAUACUAUCUUUUUACUUUUUUACUUUUAAAAUUCUCACACAGCAAAACCAAUGUUUUGGUGUACACUUCUAUGAAUUUCAACACAUGGAGAGACUUCUGUAGCCACCAGCAUAAUCAGGAUGCAGUACAGGUCCAUCCUUCCCCCCAGAUUCCCCAUGCCAUCUCCCCCGCCUGCCAACCCUUGGCAAACCCCGUCCCACCACUAAUCUACUCUUUAUCACAAUGAUAACAACUUAUUGAGCAUGUCAUGUAAAUGAAAGUGUAUAUUAUAGGACCUUGUGAAACUCGCUUUUCAUUCAAUACAAAGCCUUUGAAGUUCAUGCAAGUUAUUGUUUUAUCAAUAGUUUCUUACUUGUUGUUGUUGACGACUAUUAUAUUGUAUGGCUAUACCCAGCAAAAGACAUUUAUCUUACUUCCAGCUUUUGGCAA
This is a long non-coding RNA of Symphalangus syndactylus (siamang), 1365 nucleotides long. RefSeq lists it as uncharacterized. NCBI's taxonomy places the organism in Eukaryota, Metazoa, Chordata, Mammalia, Primates, Hylobatidae. The record is from RefSeq and is a predicted model, not a curated record.